GUCCACGCCGUAAACGAUGGAUACUAGCUGUUGGAGCAAUCUCAGUGGCUAAGCGAAGUGAUAAGUAUCCCACCUGGGAGUACGUUCGCAAGAAUGAACUCAAGGAAUUGACGGGCCCGCACAAGCGGUGGAGCAUGUGGUUUAAUUCGAUGAUACGCGAGGAACCUUACCAAGGCUUAAAUGUAGAUUGACAGGACUGGAAACAGUUUUUCUUCGGUACAAUUUACAAGGUGCUGCAUGGUUGUCGU
Molecule: ribosomal RNA, 248 nt
Filed under: uncultured bacterium
Lineage: Bacteria
Description: partial 16S ribosomal RNA
Rfam family: Bacterial small subunit ribosomal RNA
Source: RNAcentral